This 96-nucleotide transfer RNA is filed under the name Hyphomicrobiales bacterium. Its description in RNAcentral is "Rhizobiales bacterium (bioreactor metagenome) tRNA-Sec". It matches the Rfam family "Selenocysteine transfer RNA". The record is from RNAcentral. Lineage: Bacteria; Pseudomonadati; Pseudomonadota; Alphaproteobacteria; Hyphomicrobiales.
GGGAGAGCAUCGUUCCCGGUGGGGCGUCCGGACUUCAAAUCCGGGAAGGGUCGCGAGACGGUUCUUGGUGGGUUCGACUCCCAUUCUCUUCCGCCA